CUUUUGUCCUGACUCUAUUUCAGAUGCGGAUGGAUAAAAUCGGAGCAGAGCGCCCUAUCCCAGGAAGUAAAGCCAUCUAGCAGCAGACAAGGCAAAGUGGGCAAGGCGGUCCACUUGCAACCCAAUCCGGCCAAGGAUGCCCGAUGUCAGUGCUGUUGCCGUCCUUGGUGUGCCAAGGAACAGAGGUGUCUUCCGGGCAGACUCGAGUCAAAUCAAGAUUUGAGGUUUGUAGCCAAAGUUUGGAAAGAGCAGCACCGAAGCACAUGACAACGUCCCAGCGUCCACGUCCAACCGGCGAUGGAUUUUGUCAGCUCAUCUUCCCAAAGCUAAGUGUUGGGGCCCAUACUUGCAGGGAGGGAAAAAGCCUUUACUCUCACAGGGGGAAAUCUGAUGUUAACUUAGUGGAGUAGUCUGUAGUGGAACAGGUCCCUCGGAAGUAAAGGGAGAGGGGUUCUCCUCAGUAAAGGGUGAGGGUUUCUCCUCAGCCUCACCAGAGCCUUUGCCGGGCAGGGCAGUUCUGACCCGCCUCCACGUUCUCGUGGACUUUGCGUCAUCAGCCUCCUUCGACCCUCGACGUCGUCGCGGGCCUUUCUCCCGAGGAGCUCGCCUUCAGGUCCGGAGUUAUAGCCACCAUCACCCGGCAGUCUUUGCUUCCUUCUGUAGGCCCACCGAGCCUCUCAAGCAUCCUCUUAACUGCUUUGGCAGCAACUCCUUUCAAGGAGUUGUUUCAUCAUCACACACUCUUGCCAUAGGACUCGCUUUCCUUCGGCAUCUUUGGCCUCUGGCUCAUCUCGCACUAGAAAUCUUGAGUCCAUAAGGUGAAACUGCCAG
Molecule: long non-coding RNA, 831 nt
Organism: Passer montanus (Eurasian tree sparrow)
Lineage: Eukaryota; Metazoa; Chordata; Aves; Passeriformes; Passeridae
Exons: 6
Source: RefSeq, a predicted model, not a curated record